Long non-coding RNA from Erigeron canadensis, 806 nucleotides. RefSeq lists it as uncharacterized. The transcript has 3 exons. The record is from RefSeq and is a predicted model, not a curated record. NCBI's taxonomy places the organism in Eukaryota, Viridiplantae, Streptophyta, Magnoliopsida, Asterales, Asteraceae.
UUUUAUCUCUGCUAAUUUGAACUUCAUAAAUCUAUCACAUAUGCAUAUCUAAUUGUGUUACACAGAUCCAAAAUCUUCAUAUCACACACAUACAAACAUACUUCCAGAUUAAUAAUGAUAAAUAAUUAAAUGAUACAACAAAUACCAUUUCAUAUCCGCGACUUUUUGUAACUCCCUGUCGGCUGCAUCAGCGCCGCCAACACUCAAAUCCACCAUGGCCACCGCUCACCGGACCUCUGUUCCCUCACCGAAAACAACCACCAAGAGCCGGCUUCCAAGCUUCCACCUGAUCUUCUUUUCUUCAACUAAAUCUCGAUUUGAUCAUCAAAACCCUAUAUUAAUAAUAAAAACCCGAUCCAAUUUUCUUUCUGGCGAAACCCUUGCUCCAUCAAAAUUCUGAUCUGUUCUCCAACUUCCUUUGUUAUGCUACGGUAGGAUUUUUUUUUAAAGUUAAUUGAUUCCAACAUGGGAUUUGUUAUGCUAUGUGUGUUUGACUGAACUAGAUCGAAAAUAUGCAAUGGAUGGUGAUGGGCUGAUGGCUAGAUCCGUUUUUCCAGCUGCCAUAUUGGCCGGAUUUUGGCCGGAAGUCGCGGUAUCGGAAUUCAUGUUAGGUCGUGAUCGUUGAAGAUUUCUGGACACUCAAACUCGUCAAAUACUUAUAAUUCAAUAUUAAUUUGACGAUUACAAGGCAAAGGUGAACAGAUGAAUCAAAGACAUGUUGGAUGAUAAUUGAUUGUUUGCAUGCUAGGAUUUGACUUGGACUUUACUGUGGAUCCGUGAUUCAUUGUCCCUGCUUAUGGGUUAUG